Molecule: ribosomal RNA, 110 nt
Organism: Erinaceus europaeus (western European hedgehog)
Lineage: Eukaryota; Metazoa; Chordata; Mammalia; Eulipotyphla; Erinaceidae
Source: Ensembl
UCUACGGCCCAUACCACCCUGAACACGCCCGAUCUCAUCUGAUCUCAGAAGCUAAGCAGGGUUGGGCCUGGUUAGUACUUGGAUGGGAGAAACAGAGGCUGGGGGUAUGG